UCUCCGUGUAAGAAAUGAGAAAAUGCUUCAAUAAAACGUGAAAACCACCCCCCUCCCCCCAAAUUAAAAUCAUAAUAAUAUCAACAAGAGUAGCGCGACCCCUGUUAUGACGCCACUUCACCGUCAAGGCAGGAGGUCGCGGUGUAGUUGGAAGUGGCGACAGGACGACAAAGUCCACACAGAUCAUUCAUUGAAAGUCAUCAUCUUUAUUAAAAUGCCACUGCUAGUACAAGAAAAGGCUCAUCUCACUCAAUCUCCUGUCUCUGCAGUCUGCAUAUGAUGCCACCCGUACUCCUCCCUCGGGAGGUGUUUAGGGCACGUCCGACCGGUAGGAGGCCACAGGGAAGACCCAGGACACGUUGGGAAGCCUGUCUCCCGGCUCGCCUGGGAACGCCUCGAGAUCCACCGGGAAGCUCUGGACGAAGUGGCUAGGGAGAGGGAAGUCUGGGCUUCCCUGCUUAGGCUGCUGCCCCCGCGACCCGAUCUCAGAUAAGCGGAAGAAGAUGGAUGGAUGGAUGGAUGGAUUGUUUAAUACAUGUGGCACUGUUUAUCUUACAAAAGACCCGUGACUAUAUGUGUAGCUUUUGACAUGGCAUACAGAAACAUUUUCUUGUGUUUAUUGCUGUAACACAUUACACUUAAGGAACUUUGGAAAGCCAAUCCCACAAUAAAAACAGUCAUCCAUCCAUUUUCUACCGCUUGUUCCUUUUUGGGUUUGCGGGGGGUGCUGGAGCCUAUCUCAGCUGCA
Long non-coding RNA from Nerophis ophidion (straightnose pipefish), 748 nucleotides. RefSeq lists it as uncharacterized. The transcript has 4 exons. The record is from RefSeq and is a predicted model, not a curated record. Lineage: Eukaryota; Metazoa; Chordata; Actinopteri; Syngnathiformes; Syngnathidae.